Molecule: ribosomal RNA, 429 nt
Filed under: Pseudomonadota bacterium
Lineage: Bacteria; Pseudomonadati; Pseudomonadota
Description: Proteobacteria bacterium partial 16S ribosomal RNA
Rfam family: Bacterial small subunit ribosomal RNA
Source: RNAcentral
UGGGGAAUAUUGGACAAUGGGCGAAAGCCUGAUCCAGCCAUGCCGCGUGUGUGAAGAAGGUCUUCGGAUUGUAAAGCACUUUAAGUUGGGAGGAAGGGCAGUAAGCGAAUACCUUGCUGUUUUGACGUUACCGACAGAAUAAGCACCGGCUAACUCUGUGCCAGCAGCCGCGGUAAUACAGAGGGUGCAAGCGUUAAUCGGAAUUACUGGGCGUAAAGCGCGCGUAGGUGGUUCGUUAAGUUGAAUGUGAAAGCCCCGGGCUCAACCUGGGAACUGCAUCCAAAACUGGCGAGCUAGAGUAGGGCAGAGGGUGGUGGAAUUGCCUGUGUAGCGGUGAAAUGCGUAGAUAUAGGAAGGAACACCAGUGGCGAAGGCGAGCACCUGGGCUCAUACUGACACUGAGGUGCGAAAGCGUGGGGAGCAAACAGG